AUUGAACGCUGGCGGCAUGCCUUACACAUGCAAGUCGAACGGCAGCACGGGAGCAAUCCUGGUGGCGAGUGGCGAACGGGUGAGUAAAGUAUCGGAACGUGCCCAGUCGUGGGGGAUAACGUAGCGAAAGUUACGCUAAUUCCGCAUACGAUCUAUGGAUGAAAGCGGGGGAUCGCAAGACCUCGCGCGAUUGGAGCGGCCGAUAUAAGAUUAGGUAGUUGGUGGGGUAAAGGCUCACCAAGCCGACGAUCUGUAGCUGGUCUGAGAGGACGACCAAACAGAAUGGGACUGAGACACGGCCCAGGGUCAUACGGGAGGCAGCAGUGAGGAAUGUUGAGCAAUGGGCGAAAGCCUGAUCCAGCCAUGCCGCGUGCAGGAUGAAGGCCUUCGGGUUGUACACUGCUUUUGUACGGAACGAAAAGGUUUGGCCUAAUAAGCUGAGCUCAUGACGGUACCGUAAGAAUAAGCACCGGCUAACUACGUGCCAGCCGCCGCAGUAA
RNAcentral lists this ribosomal RNA (500 nucleotides) under uncultured bacterium. RNAcentral's name for it is "partial 16S ribosomal RNA". It matches the Rfam family "Bacterial small subunit ribosomal RNA", at positions 30 to 523 of the family's 1533-position model. The record is from RNAcentral.